RNAcentral lists this ribosomal RNA (485 nucleotides) under uncultured bacterium. RNAcentral's name for it is "partial 16S ribosomal RNA". It matches the Rfam family "Bacterial small subunit ribosomal RNA", at positions 899 to 1397 of the family's 1533-position model. The record is from RNAcentral.
ACUCAAAUGAAUUGACGGGGACCCGCACAAGCGGUGGAGCAUGUGGUUUAAUUCGACGGUAAGCGAGGAACCUUACCAAGGCUUGACAUGUACCUGCAUAUUCUGGAAACAGAAUAGCCUUCGAGGGUGGUACACAGGUGCUGCACGGUUGUCGUCAGCUCGUGUCGUGAGAUGUGCACUUAAGUGUGCGAACGAGCGCAACCCCUAUUGUUGGUUACAAGUGUCCAGCGAGACUGCCAGGGUUUAACCUGGAGGAAGGUGGGGAUGACGUCAAAUCAGCGUGGCUCUUACGCCUUGGGCUACACACGUGCUACAAUGGAUAGAUACAGAGGGACGCCAAGUGGUAACACGGAGCAAAUCCCAUAAAACUAUCCCCAGUUCAGAUUGAGGGCUGCAACUCGCCCUCAUGAAGCCGGAAUCGCUAGUAACCGUGAAUCAGCCUCGUCACGGUGAAUACGUUCUCGGGUUUUGCACACACCGCCCGU